Molecule: long non-coding RNA, 2004 nt
Organism: Callithrix jacchus (white-tufted-ear marmoset)
Lineage: Eukaryota; Metazoa; Chordata; Mammalia; Primates; Cebidae
Source: Ensembl
CAUGUGUAGAUUUUCCUUUCCUUGUCUUUCACAAGUAUCAUGUUUUUCUUCAAUCCUCUGUGUGUGGGGGGGGGGAUGACAGGAUCUUGCUAUGUUGUCCAGGCUAGAGUGCAGUGGCAUGACCAUGGCUCACUGCAGCCUUAACCUCCUGGGCUCAAAGGAUCCUCCCACCUCAGCCUCCCAAAGUGUUGGGAUUACAGGCAUGAGCCACAAUGCCCAGCCUUAAAUUCUUUUCAACUUUAAAAAAUUUUGGUCAUGUGUGAUGACCCAUGCCUGUAAUCUCAACACUUCAAGAGGUUGAGGCAGGAGGUUCGUUUGAACCCAGGAGUUGGGGACAAGCCUGGGUACACCAGGAGACCCCAUCUUAAUUUAAAAAAAAAUUACCCAGAGGUGGUGGCAUGGACUACCUGUGGUCCCAGCUACUUGGGACACUCAGGCAGGAGGAUCACCUGAGUCUGGGGGGAUUGAGGCUACAGUGAGCUAUGGCAAUGCCACUGUACUCCUGCCUGGGAAACAGAGUGAGACCCUGUUUCAAAAAAAUUGUUUUUGUCACUUAAAAAUUCUUUUAUUUUUUAAAAAGACAAAUCCUGCCCUCUGUGUACAUCGCUGUGUUUUCAGCAAUGUCUGUUUUCCUCUGUGUUGUUUGCACAUCAUGUUCACUUCUGCAAAUUUUAUUGUUCUUUUCACUUCUGUCUAGGCCCUGCUGUCUCAUGUUUUGUCAACAGGAAGAAAAACACAUCUUCAUGUUUUGUUUUGUUUUUGAGGUGGAGUCUUGCUCAGUCACCCAGGCUGGAGAGCAGUAGCACAAUCUCAGCUUACUGCAACCUUUGCCCCCCAAGUUCAAGUGAUUCUCCUGCCUCAGCCUCCCGAGUAGCUGGGUCUACAGGAACAAAAUUUCAGUCUAGACUGAAAUUCAUAGCUGGACACAUUCCUCACUUCAAAUGAGAACUCCUGUUUACCUGGCAGUGAAUUGGAAUUUGGAGAAGGAAUAGCAAAGUGGAAGUCCUUCUCCUAUUUCAUGCCUUAACUUGUUUUUAUUGGAAGUUACUUCCUUUUUCGUCUCAGAGGCUGAUUCUCCUCCCAUAACCAGUGAUUUUCCUAUAAGCUCAUUAUCCUGGAUGAUGGUUUGACUAACCAAGGCUACUGGCUGCUGAGGGGUUUCUGAGGAAACUUGGGUAGCCUGAUAGAGGCCAUCUGCCUCUCCACGUGGGUUCUAGUUGUGGAGUACACUGCUAUGUUCAUGGAGGCCAUGCACAUUGGCCAGAGAAGAGCAGCCCCAUUGCAAAAGGAUCUAAAUGAGUAUUUUCCAUGCUCACGGGUCAAAUGAGAGGACGUCCCACAUUUAUUCAGAAGGUAGUUGAAAGUGGUCAGCCCCAGAUCUCCUCCAUAUGACUCUUUGGUUGAUGCUACUUGUACCUCAAUACUUGGAAGGCCCAUUCUGGCCAGGAACAACUUUCACUUUACUCUGAAAACAUGGGCAGGUGGGCACAGAAUAGAGCGACUCUAUCCCUGGGACAGAAACUCCUUCAGGCUUUGUGGCAGACACUGUUAUAUGAGUCUUUAGGUGAGUUAACUCAUUUACUCUUUGGAACAAUCCUCUGAAGUAGGUUUUGUUAUUAUCCUCAGUUUACAGACACAGAAACUGAGACACAGAAAGACCAUUCACAGUAAGUGGUUGAGGCAGGACUGAAACUCAAGAAGCCUUGUGACGGUUGUGAUGAGUUAGUAGUGAUGGUGGCUACGAGGUAGGUGUGUGAAUAGAUGUGUAGUGGCUUCUCCUCCAAUGGAAAACUCCCAAAGCAUUAUGAAACAGCCUGGUAGCUGCAGUUGCCCAGGUGUGCAGGAGCAUCGGUGAGCUCAGCAGACUCUGUUCCAAGUCACAUUAAAGAGGCUGAUUUAUCGCAAACCUAUCUCCUAGAGACAGAAUAUAGUUUCCAAAAAUGGACAAAACAUGACCUCCCAACCCACAUGCUGUUCUUACGAUGUAACUUUGAUAUUAUAUUC